AAUGGGCGCAAGCCUGAUCCAGCCAUCCCGCGUGAAGGAUUAAGGUCCUAUGGAUUGUAAACUUCUUUUCUCUGGGUAUAAAAACCGGUAUUUAUAUUGGCUUGAAGGUACCAGAGGAAUAAGCACCGGCUAACUCCGUGCCAGCAGCCGCGGUAAUACGGAGGGUGCAAGCGUUAUCCGGAUUCACUGGGUUUAAAGGGAGCGUAGGUGGCUUUGUAAGUCAGUGGUGAAAGCCCGGAGCUUAACUCCGGAACUGCCAUUAAUACUGAUUAGCUUGAAUCAACUUGAGGUGGAUGGAAUAUUACAUGUAGCGGUGAAAUGCUUAGAUAUGUAAUAGAACACCGAUUGCGAAGGCAGUUCACUAAGGUUGUAUUGACACUGAGGCUCGAAAGCGUGGGGAUCAAA
This 405-nucleotide ribosomal RNA is filed under the name uncultured bacterium. RNAcentral's name for it is "bacterial SSU rRNA". It matches the Rfam family "Bacterial small subunit ribosomal RNA", at positions 370 to 772 of the family's 1533-position model. The record is from RNAcentral.